Molecule: ribosomal RNA, 412 nt
Filed under: uncultured bacterium
Lineage: Bacteria
Description: bacterial SSU rRNA
Rfam family: Bacterial small subunit ribosomal RNA
Source: RNAcentral
AUUGAACGCUGGCGGCAUGCUUUACACAUGCAAGUCGAGCGGCAGCGCGGGGGCAACCUUGGCGGCGAGCGGCGAACGGGUGAGUAAUACAUCGGAACGUGUCCCGUAGUGGGGGAUAACCCGGCGAAAGCCGGACUAAUACCGCAUAUGCUCUACGGAGGAAAGUGGGGGACUCGCAAGAACCUCACGCUAUGGGAGCGGCCGAUGUCCGAUUAGCUUGUUGGCGGGGAAAGGCCCACCAAGGCGACGAUCGGUAGCUGGUCUGAGAGGGUGUACGGCCACACUGGAACUUAGACACGGUCCAGACUCCUACGGGAGGCAGCAGUGAGGAAUCUUGCGCAAUGGGCGAAAGCCUGACGCAGCGACGCCGCGUGGAGGAUGAAGGUCUUUGGAUUGUAAACUCCUGUUAAGU